CACACACUUCUAGAGCUGAGGGGGGCGUACCUUGUUCCGUUAUGAAGGAGUGAAAGAGCCCUUGACUAAAGUGGUGAAGCCUGAAGAAGGAUCAGAUUGAGGGAGAAGAUCAAGAGUUUGGCUUUGAGAAGAUGUUUCAGGCACUGGAGAUGAAGUUAAAAUCAGACACACAUAGUCCCAUCCUCAGGGAGCAACAGCCAGUGGGAAGAUAAACCAACCGAUAUAUACUGUUACAGCCGGAGGUGCUGGGAAGGGCACAACAGAAGGCUUGGCUCCAUAAGUAUUGGUGGAAUGGCCAACGGAGUGAAUGAACAUCUCUUACUGUAGCUCCCUAAGGCCGUUGAAGCUGGUGAGAAGAAGCUUGGCUUGGAGCCACCCGCACCCAGGGUCUGCCUUUCCUGAAGCCAGAGGUGACAACUGCCUGUGCAAUAUGAUAUAAAACCCUCCUCUCUGCCCUGCCUACUGCCAACACGCCAGUGGUCACUGCCUGAGCCCCCCCCCCCCCCCCAUUAGCAUCUUAGAGCCUAGGCAGCUCAGUUCUCUUUCUGGCUCUCCUGACCUUGGGCACGUCCCUUCCUUUCUUGGACACUAGGAGGGGGGUUGCACUAAACUCCUCUGAGGUCCCUGCAGGCCUAGCUGUCUAUUUGUUUCUUCCUAACUCACUUAUUGCUCUUCUAAGGUAGAAAUGUAAAGGUGGUGACCUGGAGAACCCCAAGAGGGCUGGGGGACGCCUGGGCACCUGGAGUGUGAGCUGGGCCCCUUCCUCCGUCCUCUGGAUGGCAGAGGCUGUGGACUAGGAGUCGGGAGGGAGAAGGACACUGGAAGAGGCCUUCAGCCCCUUGCGGCCCUUUAAAUGCUGCCAGAAUGACUCCUGCUCCCCAGAUUGCUUCCUGCGGCUGUCAGACACGCGUCAAGGUCAGGGGUGUGCAUCUGCCCCAGACACAGCAAUAAUGGCUUCUAAUGGACUGUAAACAGGUGAAGUU
Molecule: long non-coding RNA, 983 nt
Organism: Myotis myotis
Lineage: Eukaryota; Metazoa; Chordata; Mammalia; Chiroptera; Vespertilionidae
Exons: 5
Source: RefSeq, a predicted model, not a curated record